AUGUCGUGGACGAGGCGAGGUCGAGGACAGUCGCGGGUUGAGGGUGCUGCAGGUGGGAGCGGCUGGAGAUGGUGGUGGCGCCACACGGCUCGGAGGAAGCAGGGGCGGUGGAGCUCGCGCAUCGGGCGGCGUCACUGGACGAGGAGGAGGCUGCGUCCUCGUGAUUUCUGGCGGCAGGGCAUGGCUCACCGGUGA
RNAcentral lists this ribosomal RNA (195 nucleotides) under Triticum aestivum (bread wheat). RNAcentral's name for it is "partial small subunit ribosomal RNA". The record is from RNAcentral. Lineage: Eukaryota; Viridiplantae; Streptophyta; Magnoliopsida; Poales; Poaceae.